CUUAUUGGAAGGGUGCUCGCAACAGGACGGAUUUAACCAUACAGGUCAUGGUCUUAACCGGACUGUAGCUGAUGGUCGUUCAGAAAAUCUACAUAGAUUGAGGGCUCCAUAUGUUGCCGUGCUAAACCUACCUGAUCCUGACUUGCCACACGUGCGUGGAGUUGUGCCAUCUGUUCAAACCGUGUCACCUUCAGUAGAUAUAAGUCUGCAGUGCAUUCGCGCCUCUCAAAGAACGUGCCUUAGAUAAUACGGACGACAUCAUUUAAGGGCAUUUUCUUCGAAUAUGAAAAUUUCGUACCAGAAUGGAUGGAAAACCUACAAAAAACAUUAUCAUUCGGACACUUUUAAUUCAUAUUUAUUCUGUCUCUGAUGCAGAGUGGGGAUGUUAACCCACACCAAGGCCCAGCAAUUGUUUCAGACUUGACUGAACAUGGUGCACGUAAAAAAAGGGAGACAACCAAAACACCCAUGUCGUUUAUGUGGAUGGGGAGUUACCUCUCGUUCAAAAGCAAUUGACUGUGAUUCUUAUGGAGUCUGGACACACAUAAAUUGCACAGGGUUUAUAGUGCCAGUUUUAUAAAAACAGAAAUCAAAAUUAUGUAAAAUUUAAACUUCAUACCGUCAGUGAAGAAUAUACUUAUAAAGAAUUGUGUAAAUUAAAUUGUUAAAAAAAGUACAGGGUUAGAUGAUAUUCCUGCCAAAUACUUGAAAGAUGCUGCACCUUUUGUGAAAGUUCACAUUACUUUUUUAGUCAAUUGCUCUAUUUCUUCUAAUACAGCU
Molecule: long non-coding RNA, 780 nt
Organism: Dreissena polymorpha
Lineage: Eukaryota; Metazoa; Mollusca; Bivalvia; Myida; Dreissenidae
Exons: 5
Source: RefSeq, a predicted model, not a curated record